CAUGGCCGCCGUCAGUUCGUACCGUAAGGCGUUCUGUUAAGUCAGAUAACGAACGAGACCCUCGUCCUUAAUUGCCAACCCAUUCUCCGGAGUGGGCGCACAUUAAGGGGACCGCUGGCGCUAAGUCAGAGGAAGGAGAGGUCAACGGUAGGUCAGUAUGCCCCGAAUCUCCCGGGCUACACGCGCGCCACAAAGGACAGGACAAUGGGAUGCAAUACCGAGAGGUAACGCCAACCCGAAACCUGUUCGUAGUUCGGACUGAGGGCUGUAACUCGCCCUCACGAAGCUGGAUUCCGUAGUAAUCGCGGGUCAACAUCCCGCGGUGAAUAUGCCCCUGCUCUUU
This 343-nucleotide ribosomal RNA is filed under the name uncultured Thermoplasmatales archaeon. RNAcentral describes it as "bacterial SSU rRNA". It matches the Rfam family "Archaeal small subunit ribosomal RNA", at positions 993 to 1338 of the family's 1478-position model. The record is from RNAcentral. Lineage: Archaea; Methanobacteriati; Thermoplasmatota; Thermoplasmata; Thermoplasmatales.